GGGGAUGUGACUCAGUAGUAGAGCACCUGCUUCGCAUGCAUAAGACUCCGGGUUCAGUCCCCAGCACCUCCC
This 72-nucleotide transfer RNA is filed under the name Ictidomys tridecemlineatus (thirteen-lined ground squirrel). RNAcentral describes it as "Spermophilus tridecemlineatus (thirteen-lined ground squirrel) tRNA". It matches the Rfam family "tRNA". From Rfam's summary of the family: Transfer RNA (tRNA) molecules are approximately 80 nucleotides in length. The record is from Rfam by way of RNAcentral. Lineage: Eukaryota; Metazoa; Chordata; Mammalia; Rodentia; Sciuridae.